RNAcentral lists this long non-coding RNA (512 nucleotides) under Gossypium raimondii (Peruvian cotton). RNAcentral describes it as "long non-coding RNA (GRAI_LNC010586)". The record is from RNAcentral. Lineage: Eukaryota; Viridiplantae; Streptophyta; Magnoliopsida; Malvales; Malvaceae.
GGUUUUGCGGCAAAAACACUCUCGAGCGAACCAACACCCGAUUUCCCGCAUGACUCCGACUACGAUUCUGCAAAAGAAGAACCCUGCACCUUCAGAUUCUCUAAACGCAUAAGAACACCGAAGAACCGAAAUACCAAGAUUGAACAAUGAAAUUGCGACAAAAAGCAGAUAGCAAGGGAAAGAAUUUGUCAAAUGAUAGUGAAAUGCAGAGAAAGGGAAAACUCACGUUAGAUUUCUUGAGGAAAGAGAAAAGAGAAAAAAGUAAAGAAAAAAAUCAAAUAAAAAUAAAACCAAAUUAGAUAAAUCCCAACUCUCCACUAACCUCUCAAUCUCAAUUACCCAACUGACUCGGAAUUUCAAGACCACUCAAACUCUCUCACCCAACCGAAACAAAAAUUAACACCCUCACUCCCACAUGGAUUUGAACACAGAACCUCCAGCACAACAACCCUUUACCACUCAAACCAACAAGCUCAUUCUAAUAUGAGUUAACUAAAGAUAAAAUAUAAACC